UGCAAUCGAGCGGGCGUAGCAAUACGUCAGCGGCAGACGGGUGAGUAACGCGUGGGAACAUACCUUUUGGUUCGGAACAACACAGGGGAAACUUGUGCUAAUACCGGAUAAGCCCUUACGGGGAAAGAUUUAUCGCCGAAAGAUUGGCCCGCGUCUGAUUAGCUAGUUGGUGAGGUAACGGCUCACCAAGGCGACGAUCAGUAGCUGGUCUGAGAGGAUGAUCAGCCACAUUGGGACUGAGACACGGGCCAAACUCCUACGGGAGGCAGCAGUGGGGAAUAUUGGACAAUGGGCGAAAGCCUGAUCCAGCCAUCCCGCGUGAGUGAUGAAGCCCCCCAGGGUUGUAAAGCUCUUUUGUGCGGGAAGAUAAUGACGGUACCGCAAGAAUAACCCCCGGCUAACUUCGUGCCAGCAGCCGCGGUAAUACGAAGGGGGCUAGCGUUGCUCGGAAUCACUGGGCGUAAAGGGUGCGUAGGCGGGUUUUUAAGUCAGGGGUGAAAUCCUGGAGCUCAACUCCAGAACUGCCUUUGAUACUGAGAAUCUUGAGUUCGGGAGAGGUGAGUGGAACUGCGAGUGUAGAGGUGAAAUUCGUAGAUAUUCGCAAGAACACCAGUGCCGAAGCGGCUCACUGGCCCGAUACUGACGCUGAGCACGGAAGCGUGGG
This 664-nucleotide ribosomal RNA is filed under the name uncultivated soil bacterium clone S002. Its description in RNAcentral is "bacterial SSU rRNA". It matches the Rfam family "Bacterial small subunit ribosomal RNA", at positions 56 to 765 of the family's 1533-position model. The record is from RNAcentral.